This 467-nucleotide ribosomal RNA is filed under the name uncultured soil bacterium. RNAcentral describes it as "bacterial SSU rRNA". It matches the Rfam family "Bacterial small subunit ribosomal RNA", at positions 26 to 518 of the family's 1533-position model. The record is from RNAcentral.
AGGACGAACGCUGGCGGCGUGCUUAACACAUGCAAGUCGAGCGGUAAGGCCUUUCGGGGUACACGAGCGGCGAACGGGUGAGUAACACGUGGGUGAUCUGCCCUGCACUCUGGGAUAAGCCUGGGAAACCGGGUCUAAUACCGGAUAUGACCUGCUCUCGCAUGGGGGUGGGUGGAAAGAUUUAUCGGUGCAGGAUGGGCCCGCGGCCUAUCAGCUUGUUGGUGGGGUAAUGGCCUACCAAGGCGACGACGGGUAGCCGACCUGAGAGGGUGACCGGCCACACUGGGGCUGAGACACGGCCCAGACCCCUACGGGAGGCAGCAGUGGGGAAUAUUGCACAAUGGGCAAAGCCUGAUGCAGCGACGCCGCGUGAGGGAUGAAGGCUUGGGUUGUAAACUCUUCAGCAGGAGAAGCGCAAGUGACGGUACCCGCAGAAGAAGCACCGCUAACUACGUGCCAGCAGCCGC